AGAUUCUUAAGAAAAUCUUGUUUUGUUUCUGUUUGGUUUAUUUUGUGUCUAGGCCACAAGGACUAAUGAGUUCUGCAGUUUAUGUUCAAAGUGUGUUCCACAGUGGCAGCUCACAGUGUCUCAGAGACCUGCCUUUAUGGACAAAAGUUCACACAGUAUUGCUAAAUGAAGAAGGAAACCGACUUUCUUAGCAGCUCGUUAGGCACCUCUGGGUGACUAUCGAUAUCGAAAGUGAAGACAGGAUAUUAAGCAAAAGGACUUGAUGUUAAUGAUACAUUCCAAGCCCAGAGAUAGUUUAAGGACCAGCAUUUGAAGAUCCAGAUAUCAGAAACUGGUAUCAAGGUACUUGGUGGAUCCUCAUAGGAUGUGAAGAAGAGUCAGUAUAUAACUGCCCUGUGGCUGUGUUUCUAAUGAACUAAAAAAAAAAAAAAAAAAAAAAAACCCUUUUAAAUACCCAGAAGCUCUAACCCACAUUUUGAACUAAUUGACUUACUUUUUCUAAGAAAAGCUUAAUUUAACUGAUAGGGGCACAUGGGUUUAUCUGAAUAUUUAAAGAAACCCUGGGAUGAGUUUGUUCUAUUUCUUUAACUUGAUGCUGGGCCUUCUGAGCUUCAUGCCUGACAGGGAAGGCUGCUUAGGGAGGGGCAGAGAACCCACAAAUACUGUAGUCUACCCUCUCCAUCCAGAAAGCCACAUCCAGAGACAGGGCAACAACCUUAGGGCAGCACUACUACUGGUAGAAGAUUGCUAACUCUUCGAGGUUACUCUUUCUACAGUCUGUCCUCCGACUGAGACAUCCCAGGAUCACAGGAGGCUUCUCCAAAUAAAACCAGACUCUUCCAAUAUUGAUGGCAUCCACUUUGCUAUCAUUUCUCUCUGCAGCUCCUCCCUGAAGCUAAAAAGCACAAACCAAGACUGUGGUUUAUGGUAUUUUUCUGGCUAUAAGAGAAAAAGCAGAUGUAUAAACCGUAGAAAUCUAACCUAGGUAGGGUGUGUGUGUGUGUGUUUCUGGGUCACAUUUAGGGAGUGUUUGCUGAGAGUCUGGACUUGGAAAACUCUUUUCUGUCUUAAAAGUACAUGUGAAGUUGGUUUCUAUGUUACAUAUCUCCCUAGACAGUUAAUCCAACCCCAGAGCACACAGGCUUUCUGAACCAUUCUCCUGGUCAGUCUCUUUUGAUUCUUUUUCUAUUUUUCCAGGAAAAAAAAAAUCUGUUUUCCAGUAUAUUUCCACAGAUUCAACCCCAUAAAGUUUACUAUUUAAGUUUUAAGUAUUAAACAUUUAAACAUUCAGAAGU
This 1295-nucleotide long non-coding RNA is filed under the name Mus musculus (house mouse). RNAcentral's name for it is "long non-coding RNA chr18:15070086-15071381". Lineage: Eukaryota; Metazoa; Chordata; Mammalia; Rodentia; Muridae. The record is from RNAcentral.